RNAcentral lists this ribosomal RNA (323 nucleotides) under Chloropicon mariensis. RNAcentral describes it as "partial Bacterial large subunit ribosomal RNA". It matches the Rfam family "Bacterial large subunit ribosomal RNA", at positions 346 to 678 of the family's 2925-position model. The record is from RNAcentral. Lineage: Eukaryota; Viridiplantae; Chlorophyta; Chloropicophyceae; Chloropicales; Chloropicaceae.
AAAAGUGGUCCAUAGAAGGGGACAGUCCUGUACAUUAACAAUAAUUCGUUUAGUAAGUAGAGUGGAGGAAAUUCCGCUCGAAUAAGCCCUAAGGGCAAUAGGGAUACCAUUCUCUAAGGCUAAGUAUACGUGUUUAGCGAUAGUGAAAAGUACCGUGAGGGAAAGAUGAAAAGUAAGUCUAUGACUGGUGAAAUAGAACCUGAAUUAGCAAUCAUAUAAGCAGUUAGAGCUUGCGAAAAAAAAAAUCGCUGGUAAUAACGUACCUUUUGUAUAAUGGGUCAGCAAGUUAGUAGUAGUAGCAAGGUUAAACCCCUAGCGAAAGC